RNAcentral lists this ribosomal RNA (202 nucleotides) under uncultured bacterium. Its description in RNAcentral is "partial 16S ribosomal RNA". It matches the Rfam family "Bacterial small subunit ribosomal RNA", at positions 28 to 222 of the family's 1533-position model. The record is from RNAcentral.
GACGAACGCUGGCGGCGCGCUUAACACAUGCAAGUCGAGCGAGAACCAGUCCUGGGACGUGGGACGAGCGGCGAACGGGUGAGUAACACGUGGGUAAGUCUGCCCUCGAUUCUGGGAUAGCCCGGGGGAAACUCGGAUUAAUACCGGAUAGCCUCUCGAGCUUACGAGCUCGUGAGAAAAGGUAGCUUCGGCCUCCGAUCGA